RNAcentral lists this long non-coding RNA (1063 nucleotides) under Sorghum bicolor (sorghum). RNAcentral describes it as "long non-coding RNA (SBIC_LNC015796)". Lineage: Eukaryota; Viridiplantae; Streptophyta; Magnoliopsida; Poales; Poaceae. The record is from RNAcentral.
GUGGCUUCUGGAGUCUUCUAGAUGGUAGAAAAUUGCGCGGUGUGUUGAUAUCUCUAUGUAAUCCCGACAUGUGGGCCUUUCUUCCUUAUUUCCUGAUAACCCCCUGCAGAAACAGAUAAACGACAAAACUCGUGGAAUUCUGUCAGAUCAAACCCUAAUUCUAGGUGUUGUUUGUAUAUUGGUCCUUUCUCUUGUUUAUUUGAUAAUUAAAAUUGAUACUUAGGAACCGUCAACAAAUACCCCCAUACUUAGGCUUUUACUUGUCCUCGAGAAAAGGAUGGUUAAGAACAAUAUCUGGGGUAAAACAUUUUAAAACAUUCCUUUCAUAACUGCAGGGUAUUAAAAUCCACUGUAUAUAGUCAGGGAAGUAUAUGGUUAAGAGUAGAGAUCCUUUCUUCUCAAUCCUGUCACUUGGAGUUUUUGUAUAUUUUUGAAAGAAAGUUAACAUACCUUUUAUCCUCAUAGGUCUUCUCAGAUCACUCAUUAUCUUUUAUAUAUCUCACUGAUGCUGUUUUAAUUUGCAAAAAUUUUCAAGCAUACUUACUUUGCAUUUAUUGCCUGAUCAAAACGGGAUCCGAGGAGGGGAAUGUCAUACUCUUAGAUCAAAGACUUUGGAAAUUAAAAUCUUUGUCAACUCUUGCUGGCAUAUUGCUUAUUAGAGGGACCAUGGGCUAUCAUUUUCUUCUUUUCUCUUCUCUUUUUUUUAAGUGGAUACCGAGGUAUCCCUAAUUCUACUGUCGGACAGUUGUCCAUUUUUUCUGCGAGGUUAUCGAGCACUUGCUCCUUUUUAUUUCCUCGAAAUAUCUUUAUUUUUGCAUAGCCCAUGCCUAUAGUGCAAUAAUACUUCGGAAGAGUGAAUCUUUCUGAAUAAAUGUCUUGAUCUGAGGAGCAUGAUAAAUCUCUCAACAAGGGUCUAACUCAUUUUGAACAAACUCAAUACAGAGUAGAUAGCUUUUAUAAUCAUAAUUAAUAUUUUCAGUUUUAUCAGGCAUAUAAAACACUGAGGAUGGUAGCUAGAAUUUUGAAGAUUUUGAAAUAAAUUCUCCAAGUAACAAUGAUAUCA